GGGGACGAUCGGUUUAGACGAACAAAUCGUAAACAUAUGUGCAAAGCAGAUCUCUGAUAAAUCUUUAAACUGUCAGAAAAACCAAAUGCAAAAAACAAUUCAAUUGCUUCACCUUACAAGGUUGGAGACUUUGCAUUCGCUUUAUCUUAAUAAGCUAGCGACGUCUUACCAUCUGAAUCCUGAUUGGAUGACUAAGGCGACGCAAAUCAGGAUAGGUUAAGUUCGCUGCUCGCGUUCUUAUCCGAAAUCACGAGCUGGAUUAUUGUUUGUUCUGUUUAUCUUUCAGAACAGUAAUCGAGAUCAAAAGAUAAACUAAGCUUUGUAGAGUCAUAUGUUUACCUUGUUUGGACGUGGGUUCGAUUCCCACCGUUUCCACAU
Molecule: transfer-messenger RNA, 378 nt
Filed under: Minisyncoccia
Lineage: Bacteria; Bacillati; Minisyncoccota
Description: JAACPR01 sp009995365 Standard tmRNA
Rfam family: transfer-messenger RNA
About the family: Bacterial tmRNA, also known as 10Sa RNA or SsrA, is named for its dual tRNA and mRNA-like properties.
Source: RNAcentral